UAUGGCCNAGAGUAGGCACGGGCUGUAGACCCGCCAACAGGGGCAAACCCUUUCUAUCA
This 59-nucleotide transfer RNA is filed under the name Nactus sp. ASW510. RNAcentral describes it as "tRNA-Tyr". The record is from RNAcentral. Lineage: Eukaryota; Metazoa; Chordata; Lepidosauria; Squamata; Gekkonidae.